RNAcentral lists this ribosomal RNA (577 nucleotides) under uncultured bacterium. RNAcentral describes it as "bacterial SSU rRNA". It matches the Rfam family "Bacterial small subunit ribosomal RNA", at positions 338 to 916 of the family's 1533-position model. The record is from RNAcentral.
CCUACGGGAGGCAGCAGUAAGGAAUAUUGGACAAUGCUCGCAAGAGUGAUCCAGCCAUGCCGCGUGCAGGAAGACGGCCCUAUGGGUUGUAAACUGCUUUUGAACUAGAGAAAACCCUCCUACGUGUAGGAGGCUGAUAGUAUAGUUAGAAUAAGCAUCGGCUAACUUCGUGCCAGCAGCCGCGGUAAGACGAAGGAUGCAAGCGUUAUCCGGAUUCAUUGGGUUUAAAGGGAGCGUAGGUGGACUGAUAAGUCAGUGGUGAAAUCUCUCGGCUUAACCGAGAAAUUGCCAUUGAUACUGUUGGUCUUGAGUACAGUUGCUGUGGGCGGAAUAUGACAUGUAGUGGUGAAAUACAUAGAGAUGUCAUAGAACACCGAUUGCGAAGGCAGCUCACAAAGCUGUAACUGACACUGAGGCUCGAAAGUGCGGGGAUCAAACAGGAUUAGAUACCCUGGUAGUCCGCACCGUAACGAUGAUUACUCGCUGCUGGGAGGUAACUUCAGUGGCUUAGCGAAAGCGANAAGUAAUCCACCUGGGGAGUACGCCGGCAACGGUGAAACGUCAAAUGAAUUGACGG